Non-coding RNA from Heterocephalus glaber (naked mole-rat), 1116 nucleotides. NCBI's taxonomy places the organism in Eukaryota, Metazoa, Chordata, Mammalia, Rodentia, Bathyergidae. The record is from RefSeq and is a predicted model, not a curated record.
UCCACCAUAGCCUUAGUCAGCUUCCAACACUCGUUCCAACAAGGCACAUGUUAAGGCAAAAAUGCUCCUCUCAAAGUGAGGAUCGAGAUUCCCAAUAGGACAGAGUCCCCUUAAUCUCACCAUAAGACAUAGGAAAGUUCCCAAUGAAAACCUCAAACCCUAAAGCAGAUGGGGCCUCUCCAUUCAAACCCACUCUUGAAUUUUCUCAUCAGUCCACUCCCGACCUGAGGACUGUAACUUCCUUUAACAAAUUCCUCCAUCCUUACUACUGCUGUGUGUUCUGCUCAAUUCCUUGUUCAGGACACAAAGAGCUGCAUUUACGGGGAAACCCAGCAUCUGAAGAGAACCUGUCUCACUAGAGCUACCCAACUAUCCACCACUCCCCUCUCCCUCAGGCAUCUCUUCCUUCUUCACCUCAAGAAGCUGCCAGACUUGUGGCAUCUGGAGACAGAACAUCCCCAGCUCAUGCAGGUCAUCAAGGAGACCGAGUCGGAGGCCACACUGCCCCUGCUGCUACAAGAGAUCUACAAGGAAAUGUACUGAGGCCCAGCAGUAUGUGACAGCAGCCAUCCUGCAGGGACAUUGAACACCAGCAGCACUACAGAGGAAGAAAUGGAGCAGCUCAAAUGUGCACCCUUUAACCUUGGAGAUGGUAAAUUUGUCCUGCAGUGGUCCUGGUGGCAACCAGCACUCAGAGAGCACAUCUGCUAUUCAAGUGUUGCUGCUCAGGAGCAAGGAAAUUAAGGACAAUCAUGAGCGACAGUCUUAUUCUAACUCACCCUAUAUAAUUAGUUCAUAUUUCUUUAUAUCACAUGCAUAUUUACCAUUUAAUUAAUGGGCAACCUCAAGAUACAUGGUCUGUUCCCUUUCAACCACCCCCUUUGACUUUUAUGCUCCCUCCUGAUGUGGAAAACUGAUCACCACUUUUUAACAACUUUUAUAAUCCUAUAAAUCUAGAUGUAGCCAAAGGUUAGGUAUUUAAAAUUCAGCAUAAUAUUUAUUUGGACAAUAUCAAUUCUGUUUCCUGAAUCUGAAGAAACAACAGACUGUGUUUUAAUCAUAAGACAGAAUUUUCAAGAACAGUUUGAUAAGCUAUUAGAUCCCUGGUACCAAAAU